UAGCUGCUGUGUGUGUGGCCAUACA
This 25-nucleotide microRNA is filed under the name Ornithorhynchus anatinus (platypus). Its description in RNAcentral is "oan-miR-7420-5p". The record is from miRBase by way of RNAcentral. Lineage: Eukaryota; Metazoa; Chordata; Mammalia; Monotremata; Ornithorhynchidae.